AUACGGAGGGUCCAAGCGUUAUCCGGAAUCAUUGGGUUUAAAGGGUCCGCAGGCGGGAAAAUAAGUCAGUGGUGAAAGCCUACAGCUCAACUGUAGAACUGCCAUUGAUACUGUUUUUCUUGAGUAUAGAUGAAGUGGGCGGAAUAUAUCAUGUAGCGGUGAAAUGCAUAGAUAUGAUAUAGAACACCGAUUGCGAAGGCAGCUCACUAAACUAUUACUGACGCUCAGGGACGAAAGCGUGGGGAGCGAACAGGAUUAGAUACCCUAGUAGUCC
This 274-nucleotide ribosomal RNA is filed under the name uncultured bacterium. Its description in RNAcentral is "partial 16S ribosomal RNA". It matches the Rfam family "Bacterial small subunit ribosomal RNA", at positions 523 to 796 of the family's 1533-position model. The record is from RNAcentral.